This 252-nucleotide ribosomal RNA is filed under the name uncultured bacterium. RNAcentral's name for it is "partial 16S ribosomal RNA". It matches the Rfam family "Bacterial small subunit ribosomal RNA", at positions 524 to 776 of the family's 1533-position model. The record is from RNAcentral.
UACGGAGGAUGCGAGCGUUAUCCGGAUUUAUUGGGUUUAAAGGGUGCGCAGGCGGCGUGUCAAGUCAGCGGUAAAAUGUCGGGGCUCAACCCCGGCCGGCCGUUGAAACUGGCGUGCUCGAGUUGGAGAGAAGUAUGCGGAAUUCGUGGUGUAGCGGUGAAAUGCAUAGAUAUCACGAAGAACCCCGAUUGCGAAGGCAGCAUACCGGCUCCACACUGACGCUGAGGCACGAAAGCGUGGGGAGCAAAUAGG